AUGACACGUGGGCUCCUGGGGCGCUCUGCCCUGCAGAUCUCUGGAACUCACUCCUGCUGCAUGGCUGUAACUCGGCACACAUCUACGUGGGGGUCGAUGUCGGUUUCGCCAAACCGCGUGCAAAGCCAGCGCGGUGCCCUGGGCUGGCGAGAGAGAAGGCGUGCAUCUCGGCGCACUGGCGGAGAGCAUUACGCCUUUUUCCCCAACGUCACGUCUUCAGCCAAGGGAGGCUUCGCAUGCGCUGUUUUUGCAGCAAAGGCUCGGGAAGCCAGCAGCCGUGAAGAAGAGAGCGUGGAAAGAGGCAGCCGGUGCGAGGGGCGUGGACACGCUCGCUCCCGCCCUGCCCGCCUGCGGUCCCCGCUGCCCUUGGCCCGGCGCCCACCUGGGCUCGGAAAAGUGCCCCAAAGAAAAACAACCGGAGCUCCUCAGAAGGGGGAGUGGUUCACGCGCGCCCCUGAGCUGAGACGCGCAUUUCAAGACCAGAAGCGGAUUUCAGGCGUGAGUAGCACUUCCAAGAAAAUAUUGUGGCAGGCCCCGGAAGCAACAGACGCUGUUUCUCUCACAUCAGCUCGAGUUGUGCAAGACGCAUCACCAGGCUGGCGUAGGACGGAGGAGCUCCCGCAGGGGAACACCCACCCUACCUUCUCUCCGUCCAGAAGCUGUUACCAUGGCCAUGAAGAGCACUCUGCAAACAGCACAGGGCUCGGCCGAGGCUCUGUGCACAGGCAGCGCGCUCGGGCUCCCCGCCCCGUUCCGAGCGAAUUCCUGACUGAGGGACCUCACAAGCUACUGCACUGCUGUGGCCUCAGGUUCUCAUCUGUCAAGUGGGGAUAAACCACAGCUCCUGUUUCACACUGUUGUUUUGGUGAUUAACGGCCUCAGGUGUGCAAAAUGCUGAGCAUACAGUGGGCACUCAAUCCUGUUCUUGUCACAGGACCUGCCCCUAAUGCCAACCAAGCAAAGCAGAACCAUCAAGGGCUCCUAUUUCCCUGGUUAUUUCUUUAAAAUAUAUAUAUAAUAUAUAUGUACUAUAUAUCUGUAUAUUGUGGGCUGACGCUGUGGCAUAGCAGGUAAAGCCAACACCUGAAGCGCCAGCAUCCCAUAUGGGCGCCGGUUUGCGUCCCAGCUGCUCUAAUUCCGAUCCAGCUCUCUGCUAUGGCCUGGGAAAGCAGAAGAAGAUGGCCCACGUCCUUGGGCUCCUGCACCCACGUGGGAGACCCGGAAGAAGCUCCUGGCUCCUGGCUUUGGGAUUGGUGCAGCUCUGGCCGCUGUGGCCAACUGGGGAGUGAACCAGCGGAUGCAAGCCCUCUCUUUGCCUCUCCUUCUCUCUGUGUAACUCUGAAUUUCAAAUAAAUAAAUCUUUAAAUAUAUGUGUGUGUAUCUA
This 1384-nucleotide long non-coding RNA is filed under the name Oryctolagus cuniculus (rabbit). Its description in RNAcentral is "lncRNA (ENSOCUG00000030243.1)". The record is from RNAcentral. Lineage: Eukaryota; Metazoa; Chordata; Mammalia; Lagomorpha; Leporidae.